GACGAACGCUGGCGGCGUGCUUAACACAUGCAAGUCGAACGGUGAAGGGAUCAGCUUGCUGGUUCUGGAUGAGUGGCGAACGGGUGAGUAACACGUGAGUAACCUGCCCCCUUCUUCUGGAUAACCGCAUGAAAGUGUGGCUAAUACGGGAUAUUCUGGGUCUGUCGCAUGAUGGGUCUGGGAAAGAUAUUGUUUCGGUGGGGGAUGGGCUCGCGGCCUAUCAGCUUGUUGGUGGGGUGAUGGCCUACCAAGGCGGUGACGGGUAGCCGGCCUGAGAGGGUGGACGGUCACACUGGGACUGAGACACGGCCCAGACUCCUACGGGAGGCAGCAGUGGGGAAUAUUGCACAAUGGGCGCAAGCCUGAUGCAGCGACGCCGCGUGAGGGAUGGAGGCCUUCGGGUUGUAAACCUCUUUCGCCAGUGAAGCAGGCCUGCUCCUUGUGGGUGGGUUGACGGUAGCUGGAUAAGAAGCGCCGGCUAACUACGUG
This 489-nucleotide ribosomal RNA is filed under the name uncultured bacterium. RNAcentral's name for it is "partial 16S ribosomal RNA". It matches the Rfam family "Bacterial small subunit ribosomal RNA", at positions 28 to 507 of the family's 1533-position model. The record is from RNAcentral.